RNAcentral lists this long non-coding RNA (728 nucleotides) under Gallus gallus (chicken). RNAcentral describes it as "lncRNA (ENSGALG00010025123.1)". The record is from RNAcentral. Lineage: Eukaryota; Metazoa; Chordata; Aves; Galliformes; Phasianidae.
CAGGGAUGUGUGCCCGAGGGCUGAUGGGCUCCCAAGGCUCAGGGCUUGGAACCCAACAGAACGCCACUCACGAGCAGUUUGUGACAGGCUAUAAGCAGAAGCAGCAGAUGUUUGUUUAAGGAGAAAAAAAGAAAAAGGAAUGAGGCAACAAUCCAGAAUUUUGCUGAUAUAAACACGAUACCAGCACUGAACACAACUGAAGGAAGACGAAAACAUCCCAAAGACAUAAAACAUCAGGCACCCUGGAGAACCUCCAGCCUACAUGCGCCGAAAUCCAUCAGCCUCGGAGAAAUGAGUGCUUAACUCCUUUUCAAUCCCCGAGAUUAAUGGUGGGCUCUGAGCGAGAGAUGUUCACCCCUCCCUGAGUAUGGACAAAGGGUACCCCGGAGCCAUGGUCAUCCCGUAGAGGACUUAAGGACACCUGCUACUUUCGGGGAUUUUUCUCUUUUGCCAGCGUGUGUUGACAAGGGCAGACAUCACUGGAGGGCACUGAGGAGGGAAAGCAGGUCAGGAGGGAUCGUUCCCGGCUGCGUACCUGGCGCCCCAAAGCUGGCACGUACCCCCAGCGGGACACAAGGAGCAGAUGCAUCAUGGCAGGGAUGCUCAUGUCCCUCUGCGGUGGCGGACAGAUGAGCCCAACCCUGCUCCUCCAGCUCUGCUGCAUUUCAGCUCCACUUCCUUGAUGCUGGAAGUAGAAGCGAAGAUGAAUAAAUAACAAUAAAAAGAAG